RNAcentral lists this ribosomal RNA (477 nucleotides) under uncultured bacterium. RNAcentral describes it as "bacterial SSU rRNA". It matches the Rfam family "Bacterial small subunit ribosomal RNA", at positions 1025 to 1504 of the family's 1533-position model. The record is from RNAcentral.
AGCCUGGACACAGGUGCUGCAUGGCUGUCGUCAGCUCGUGUCGUGAGAUGUUGGGUUAAGUCCCGCAACGAGCGCAACCCUUGUCAUUAAUUGCCAUCAUUCAGUUGGGCACUUUAACGAGACUGCCGGUGACAAACCGGAGGAAGGUGGGGAUGACGUCAAGUCCUCAUGGCCCUUAUGGGUAGGGCUUCACACGUCAUACAAUGGUCGGUACAGAGGGUUGCCAAGCCGCGAGGUGGAGCCAAUCCCAGAAAGCCGAUCGUAGUCCGGAUUGUAGGCUGCAACUCGCCUGCAUGAAGUCGGAAUCGCUAGUAAUCGCGGAUCAGCAUGUCGCGGUGAAUACGUUCCCGGGUCUUGUACACACCGCCCGUCACACCAUGGGAGCGGGUUCCGCCAGAAGUGGGUAGCCUAACCGCAAGGAGGGCGCUUACCACGGCGGGGUUCGUGACUGGGGUGAAGUCGUAACAAGGAACCGUA